This 292-nucleotide ribosomal RNA is filed under the name uncultured bacterium. Its description in RNAcentral is "partial 16S ribosomal RNA". RNAcentral also lists the same sequence under 1 other name. The record is from RNAcentral.
GGACUACAGGGGUUUCUAAUCCUGUUUGCUCCCCACGCUUUCGUGCAUGAGCGUCAGUGUCGACCCAGGGGGCUGCCUUCGCCAUCGGUGUUCCUCCACAUCUCUACGCAUUUCACUGCUACACGUGGAAUUCCACCCCCCUCUGCCGCACUCAAGCCCGCUAGUUUCAAGCGCAAUUCCCAGGUUAAGCCCGGGGAUUUCACACCUGACUUGGCGAACCGCCUGCGCACGCUUUACGCCCAGUAAUUCCGAUUAACGCUCGCACCCUACGUAUUACCGCGGCUGCUGGCAC